GGCUCAAUGAUUAUAGCCAAUUAUAUUGGCAAUAUACGCUAUUCUGAGAAUGUUUAAAUACUUAUGCGGACAAUUGAGAAUAUGAGAGCU
Molecule: small nucleolar RNA, 90 nt
Organism: Ananas comosus (pineapple)
Lineage: Eukaryota; Viridiplantae; Streptophyta; Magnoliopsida; Poales; Bromeliaceae
Rfam family: Small nucleolar RNA U54
About the family: U54 is a C/D box small nucleolar RNA, which acts as a methylation guide for 18S ribosomal RNA in plants.
Source: Rfam